UAUAUAUAUAUAUACUCUUUUCUUUCUUCUUUGAUAUUAAAAAUGUCAAUUAAGACGUUAAUUUAAUCAACAAUUUCAAUUAAUUAUAAAACUUUUUGUGACUUUAAGAGACUGUUAUUUAUUCUCUUCUUGUUUGUCGGCAAUUAAUGAUUAAAAUGGAUGGGGCCUGGCCCUGAAAGCACAUCGAAGAGCGGCGGAUUUGCGAAACGAUUUAUUCGGACCGGCUCGCGCGAGCUAUACGAGAUCGCGUAGCGAAAGUUAUGAUUUAGCGAGGAAUAAUCGCCGGCCGGACCGCGCGCGGGGCGAAUCUAAAAAUAAUCCCCUGUAUAUACGUAGUGUGUUUCACUGGUACUCCACCUAUACACGCGUAAUCUUCAAUAUACAUACAACACGCCAAUGCGUACGUGAUGCUAAGAUAAGCUUCGCACAUUCUCUCUCUUUCUCUCCUUGCGCGGUCAUCUCUCACUCCUUUGUGCCACGAGACGGGUCGACUGGUGAUGAAUGCUUGAAAAUUUCACAGCGGCGAGCAAUGAGCGACCGUUAUGCGACUCAUCCGCGAUCGUCUUAGAGCAUAAGGGAUACUUUCACAUUCCCAAACGUCGCGGAUUCGUUCGCUGAAUUUAAUUUCGACGCCGAGAGUUAUACGCAAUCGUCAUCGAGCGACAGAUUUUUUUCUCUCUCGCAGGCCACAAUGAAACUCAACGGCCAAGUCACGCGACCGCUUUCACAGCAAUCCUAUAUCUUUCACAUUGCGCGUGAAAAGAAGAUGUUUGUAAAAGCGAACGAGAAAAAUAUUUCGCGAAAAAGCCUUUUUAAAUAUUUAAAAGACAGAUCGACAAAACACCUUCUUUUCACGCUGUAAUUUUCCACUGCAAAUAUCAAUGUAAUAAUAGUAUAGAUUUUUCCCACACGUGUAUUACUUGCUGAUACGGAUAUUCGACUUCUUCGAGCUGUACUCUACUCGUCUCGCUCGUAUCAUGACAUAUGAUCUCGAUAAAUCGGAAUGUGACGCAACCGAGAUGUAAUCGAAUCAUGGACAGUUAGGGUUAUGAAUUAAUUCAAUUCUGACUAAUUCAGCCAACAUGAGAAUGUACGCUUGACGGAACUCGCACGACGGGAUCGCACUUAACCGAAUCGAGCCAAACGAAUCGAACCAACUUGGAAGUGUGCGCCGUACUGAAAAAUAGGUAAAGUUUCGAGCGCUACGCUUAUCGGCACUGAUGACGCGCGUGUAUACACACACACACACACUUGUACACGAAUGCAUAAACAGCACGCACACAACGCGCGCGCGCAAAAUUACGUACGCGAAGCAGCUACACACGAGCAGACGUUCACCGUGGUGUAAUAUCGCUACAAGCCUGCCGCAGACAACUUACUUUAGAAAACACCGUUCCUAGAACGUCAGUCAAUCGUUUACGCAAUCUUCGAACAGAAAUCUCGAGUUCCGCUAUAUGUGCGAACGUAUGUCAGCCACGCGCACAUUUACGAACGUGAACGCGAGAGCAAGCGGUUACGAGACACGAUACGAAAAAAUUGGAGCCAUUAAUUUCAGAUUGAGAACGUAACAUGAAGGAAGAUACUCAACGAUACCCGCACGAAUCUCGAUCACGUUCCGUGACUUGGUUCUCGGCUGGAAGCGUAGUGGCUCAUUACGUUUGUCAUGUAAGCGGCAUAGGUGCGGACGGCGAAAUGUCGGCGUAAACAGCAGCACGUCAAUCAUUCGUUUACGCAAUACACGACAGCGCGGAUCGGUGCGCACACGACGUUACACCGCGCGUUGUUACGUGUACGUGAGAAAUUUCUCUUUUCCCACGUGGCACUCUGCGGAAGAAGAAGCUUCAGCACGCGUAAAACCGACGUACGUACAACGAGAAAUAGAUAUGCGGCAAAUUCUUGUGCCACACGACUAAGGUGCUGCGGGCACGCCUAAGAAAAUACGCUGCAUAAGUCGCCGAUAGUCGAGUUCUAAACGUGAAAGACGAGAUUGUACGAUCCUGUCUCGGUUCGCGGCGAAAGAGCGUCGCUCAUUACCACCGUCAUUAUCGCGCUGUUGUGUCGCUGGAGUCUUUGUCAUCGUUAUCAUUGCGCAACUCUCAGACCACCGGGGACGCAUUUGCGCGUAAUCGUCGUGGCGACGCGCGAUCUCCACGCGAGUGAGAGCAGCUCGCGUAUCUUUACGAACUUUCACGCUAAUUUAAGUUUCACAAAAAGUUACAACUGACACCUUAAAAUGUUUAGCGUUCGUAAUAUUAAAAAAAAAAAAAAUAACGGUGACUAUAUUAACGAGAACUGUAAUGACACUACAAUUAGAUACCAGAAGAAUUAUCUUAAUUAACCUUAGAAUACUUCUCAUAUUCUUGAAUCAACGAUAACUGGAUGAAAAUCCAACAUAAUUAAGAAUUUGUCAUGUCUUUUUUUUAUAUAUUACAGAUUGUUAAAAUAAUUAGUUCUUUCAACUAACUCUUUUAAUGUACAAAAAUCUUAUUAUAAUAAAUGUCAUUUUAAGCUAUCAAAUUUUUAAUAUCAGAAAUUAUACCAGAACUUGAAUUACCGCUUGGGCGAAAAUUCCAUUACAGCAGCCAGGUAUUCUAGGUUUAACAGUUUAUAGCAUUUCUCUCCUCUCUAAAAGAGAAGAGGUAUAAAAAUUAAAAAAAAGUGUACACGUUCUAUUAACAUUUACAAAAAAAAAUCACAAAUUUCUAUACGGUCAAUAUUUCGGUAGGUUCUCAUUUAUUCAAGCUACAGGAUGAGAGCUGUAAAUAGCCUCAUUUUAAUUAUAAUUGAUACGAAAUACUUUAGUAUUUCGAUAAUCGAUUUCUGAUGCGAUAGUGGCCGCAGAAUACGCCAAUUGUUCCAUUAAUUUCGCUAAUAGAAGUUACCGACGUGUAAUUAUUUCUAGAUAAUGACAUAAAAUAUAUUAUUAUCAUUUCGAUUCGUGGUUGCGAUCAACCGUGGAUCGAUGUCCGCCAAUUAAAGUCUCUCUUCUCUCUCUUUCUCUUUACCCUUAGUGCUUUGAAAACGUAUAUUCAUUACUGCGUACGUUAAUGACAUGUAAACAUUAAUUCACUUACUAAUAAAACUUUUUCAUUGAUAUUUAUUGUUUAUCAUUCGUCUCUUGCCUACCUUUUAUUUCGUGAAAAAGACCUUGAAAGAAAUUCUUUGUCCGAAGAAUAUGAAAUAAAUUACUGUCCGCUAUAUCACGACUCUCUCUUCCUUAUAGAGGUCCGGAAAUCUUUCGCUUUCCACGGUAGAUCGCCAGCAGGGUCUUUAGCCCUUUUGUCGUGGAAGCACCGAUUUGUUUCGUGGAUUUAUGAUCGGAGCGGCACGCGCCAAGAAGAUGACUCGGAAGUAUUCGCUGCUCCUCUCGCUUUAAAUUUGAAUCAACGAAACGGCGAUGUAUUAUGUUUCCGCGCUCAAAAUUUGUACUGAUUUGAUAAGGAAUCGUUGAUUUUUAUACUCAUCUUCUUACUAGAUUUUCCCAAAAAUCUGUACAAAUAUUUACAAGUAUCGUAAACGACAAACCAACAAUUGCCGGUUUACAACGCGUCAGGCAAAGUGAUCGCGUCGCGGCACACUUUAUCUCGCAGCAAUCCGCUUCGCGGAUUUACGGUUGUUUCGGUAAGAAAAGCCCCACGACGAUCGAUGCUCCAAGUCAAUGUCUAAUUCGAGAAUUCGAUACAUCAAUCAACAACGUAGCUGACGCGUAGCAAUUGUCUCCGACAGAUACGUCACUCAAUCGAGAAUCGCACUUAUCCUUCACGCUGUUAAAAUAAUCGAUACAUUGAAAUUGUGAUUCAGUGUUUAAAGUUAAACGGAGGAGAGUGCGAGCGGGUGGGAUGGCGUCUAACAAUUUCGUCGCGAAUCUUUCGUCCCGCCGCGUGAGAUUAAUGAUCAUUCGUUGAUCGUAUUUGUUGAAUGUUACAUCGAGAGCCUCUUUGGGUAUUUUAUUAUGGAGAUAAUAAUCUGUCUUUUCCCGCAGAUUUACAAUGUUGAAACACGAACCAAUUCGGUCGAAGUUGAUACUAAAUUCCAGUCAAGGAAAUGGUAAAUAGUCAUCUUUCAACCGUGACAUUUCUGAAAAUAUAACUGUAUCUUUAUCCUCUAAGACACGGCGCCCCGUUUAUCUCGAGCCAGUUUAUCGCCCAAUGGCUACAAGAGAAAAUAAAUUGGUAGAAAUGAAUACACUUCCACACAUAAUUUCAAAAUCUGUACAGUUUGUUACGAUGUUAACUGUUUUGUAUUCGGGUAAAAAUUAGUUUUCACGCGAAAAUGAGAGAAUUAUUUAUAUCAAUUAAUUAUUCUUUUGAGUUACAAUUACAAUAAGAUUAUGUAAAUUAUUUUUAAAAAAUUCCAGAGAAUAAAGAUGGGUUUUUACGGAUGUUCUGCAAGAGUGUCUGUAAGAGUUUAAUUGACAUUGUUUUUUUGUCACUAAUCGACUCGAUCAGAGAUGCCUCCGACAAAAACGUUUCUCAGCCAGUUCGCGAAUCCGUCCAUCCAGGAAAGGUUUAGACAGCUAUCUCAGCCAGUCGCCACGGGCAUUUAGGCCUUUUGUCACGGCUGCACCGAUUUGUUUCGUGGAUUUACGGUCGGCAAGGCACGAGCCAGGGAGCUCUGAGACUCUCUUCCUCUCUCGGUCGCGCAGUCAUCGGUAUAAGUUAAAUCGGGAAUGGCGGGCCGGGAGGCCGUCAUGCGGGAGGCGCGAUGGUAUUUUUAUCGGGUUAAAUAUAGGUAAACCUCCUAUACGGAACGCCAUACCAGUCGCCGCCGCCGCCGCCGCCGUCGCUCCGGUGGCUACCGAAGAGAAUCGCGAGAGAAGAAGCAAGAGGAAGAAAGAGGAGAUCCGGGGCGUAACUACUCGUUAACGGGCCGCACCGGCUGGCUCUUCUUCGGGAUACCCCAGGGUGUCCCGUAACCGCAAAGGAGCACUCGUGGAAAAAGAGAGGUGGGCGAGAGAUCCCUUGAUUAAUACCGUAGAAAUGAAUAGCUUUCCUCCCGCGAAGUCGCGUUAUUCUAGCAGUGUGAUCGACGUACGAUCCUUGAGGCAAGCGCUGUAUCUUAAUUGCUACGAGGCGUAAGCCGUAAUAACAUUUAAUCAUCCUCGAUACCUGAGACACGCAGACAUUCGCAGACGUUUAUCGAGAAAAUGACUGCGUGAAAAGAACACAGACAUAUAGUAUGUACGCAUAGAGGAAUGUGUGUUUAGAAACUUCCCAAUCCAAAAUUAUGAUGUAUGUAUGUGUCGUUUGUCAAAUCGUAAUUGAGAUGUGACGGUUUCAUAAAUCAGACAACGUGCUAGAUUAUCUGAUUAUCAAGUAUCUUGCGGAGAAUUUUUGCUAAGGAUAUCUUAUAUCUCGCGAAAUAUGAGAAACAGAGGACUUUACUUUUGAUGAUUUGUAUUGUACAUUAGAAACGUACAUUAAACGCACAUAUUGUGCGUAACCGAAAUGAGCCGUUUAGAUGCACCGCUUAUUGCUGCUUCACGUGGUGCUUUGUUAAUAGCGCUCGCCCUUGUUUACACCAAUCGUUUGUAUUGCGGCGAUAACGCGGACAUUUUUCGGACGAACGGUUCAGCUCCUAGCCGCUUUUAGCGGACCGUACAAUAUAAUCGUACUACCAUAGGGCGGUGUCCCAUGACCGCAAAGAGCUUCCGCAGAGGGAGAUGGAGGGAAUGUAAUUUGAAUUCGAUUCGAGGGCGAAUCACCCGACAGACGCACGGGGUAGUAAAGCUCCACUAUCGCCGUUGCUGCUCGACACAGAUUCGCAUAAAAACUCCCGUGUUCUGCCAACCUGUUUCCUCUUUCGCUACAACCGCGGACAUUCGUAGUCGCAUUGGCUCUAAAUAUUGCUUUCUGAAUAUCGCUACGGACAUAGCGCUAAAAUACGCUUGUUCAGUUCAACGUUAUAUAGAAGUUUUGAAUAAAAAAAGUCUUUUAUGUUAAAUAAUGUUACAUCCUAAUUAAUAAUCCGGGAUUAUUUUUCACUUGAUAAAUCGCUAAUAUUCGUUAGCUGUGAUAAUUUAAGAUUUUCUUAACGAAGAAUGUUUUCUAUUUUUUUUUUGUAUAAAGAAUCUUUAUAAAGUAUAAUCGAGGUAUUCCAGACUUACAUUCAAGCGGAAUCUAUGGCCUAACGGCCUCAAGAAAACCGGGAAUACGACCUUCUAGGAAACGUCUAGCCUAGUGGGUGGUCAGGUGUUUCCCGAAUAGCAACGAUGCACCGUACUACUCUGUUCAGUUACCAAGAAAGAUCGUAGUAUUUCACUUCGAGACAUAGCCAUUCAUUUAUUCCGCAUUCAUUAUACCACUCCUACAUACUUAUAGCAUAAUAUAUACGUAUCGUUUCACCUUUGCCCCUCGCUUCUAAACAAACAUACUAAUUAUGCAUUUUCUCUAUCACGAGCGAUAUCACAUCGUACAGCAACAAAGUGAUCGAAUGAAGGACGGUACGUGAAUCAAUUUUAUAGUAAUUUAAUCGAUUAUAAAGAUACGAGAUAAUUUAUUUUUCUACAUUUAUAUGAAAAAAGAAACUCGCGCGAUUUGUGCGAUUUGAUUUCUUAAAUCCUAAAUCUCUUUUUCUAUUACUUUCUUCUUCUCUACUUAGAAGUACUUAGAAGUACACAGAAAUCGUAAAUAUAACAUUGAAUAUAUAACGUUAGGUGUCUUUCUUUCUUUCUUUCGGACGACGUUAAAUCGCAACAAAUCAUCGCUGCAAUCAAAGCUUUCGUCUCUUCGACUUCGUCUGCGGGCAGGCUAUCCUUAAAACUUUAAUUUUGAAUUAAAAAGCGGUUGAAGCACAUGGAAAAAGUCAUUAAAGUACGUGAAUUCUUCCAUUUUUUACAUCCAUAAAAUAAAUAGGCAGUAUUUGAAUAUAUUAUCGACUCAUGAAAAUUAUUACAAAAAUAAGUAGAAAUAAUAAAUUAUAAACUUUUUCAUUUACGAAUAAUUACUAAAUGUACGGUCAAGUAAAACUUGAUACUUGAUGGUUCAUAAUUUAAAUGCUCACAUUGAUUGAUAAAAAUAUGUAAUUGGCUAAAUUAAAGAUACUAAAGCAACAUUAAACAUUCCCAUUGUUAUGCAACUGUCAAUUUUACGUAUUACGAUUUUUCCUACACAAAAUACAAGUGCCCGAUAUGUCGCAUUGUAGAAUAUCAGUAUUUUCCAUUAACAUUUUUUCGUUUCAUUAGCGAGAAUAAUCGCAAUUUAAUUAUUAACGCAGUAAAAGGCAGUUUGAUGAUAAUUCGGUCGAAAAAAGGGAAUUGUAGAAAAAUGCAGGCUUUUACACUUGUAACACGGUCGUCACGACACACGUACAAGAUGUUAAAGUAUGUCGCCUAAUCAAGACUCCGCUAUCGCGGUCUCUCUGUGAUUUCAGAGUGGCCCAUCACUGCGUUUCCGGCUGGUGAUAACAAAUGGUUUCUUUAAAAAAAAAA
RNAcentral lists this long non-coding RNA (7429 nucleotides) under Monomorium pharaonis (pharaoh ant). RNAcentral's name for it is "uncharacterized LOC114253986". Lineage: Eukaryota; Metazoa; Arthropoda; Insecta; Hymenoptera; Formicidae. The record is from RNAcentral.